Long non-coding RNA from Dermochelys coriacea (leatherback sea turtle), 698 nucleotides. RefSeq lists it as uncharacterized. The transcript has 4 exons. The record is from RefSeq and is a predicted model, not a curated record. NCBI's taxonomy places the organism in Eukaryota, Metazoa, Chordata, Testudines, Dermochelyidae.
AAGUACCACCCCUCAGACUGCGCUAGGCAUGCUCCAAAUGCUGUGUUAGUAUAAAGGAGAACAGUCCAGCUUAGUCUGGGUUGAUCACCAAGGAGGAAGGACAUUGGUUGGAGGCUCCAGCCCAGGAGCCAUUACAGCCCUUGCCUGUGGGAGUCACAUGGAGACCAUGGUGCCCUAUGGACUGUAGCUUCAGGAAGCCCGGUAGGAAGUGACCCAGGGAGGAUCUUCAAAAAAAGCUACUGCUUGGCAAACUACUAUAAUCAAUGGAGGAACUGGACUGCCCAACGUGUCAGGGGCACAUUUAUCCAUAUAACUGUCCAAUUCCUUAUUGAAUCUUGGGGCUUUCUGAGUAGCCUGUAUAAAGAACUCCGGAAAAAUGAAGAGUAGAUUUGUUCCUAGCAGGCAGGAAGGAAGUUGUCAGGCGGAAAAAGGAUAUGGACCUGUUUGCAUGCGAGGAAUCACAGUCCAAGUGAAAAGCCUGUUAUUCAUCCAGUUCCAUUCGGGGGGUCUCUUUGCUACUCUUGUACAAGUCUUAAAGGCAGGGAGUGCUCUGGGGCUGGAGUGGGUGCUGACAGGAAGAACAGUCAGUGGACCGAGUGCUCUCCAAGUGGAGAUGGAAGUGUUUUGACCUAUAAAGACCUGAAAUCUCUUGGGAUCUGCCUAUCUGAGAGAGUCUUUCUGUGUGAUACUGUUCUGUU